RNAcentral lists this ribosomal RNA (254 nucleotides) under uncultured bacterium. RNAcentral's name for it is "partial 16S ribosomal RNA". It matches the Rfam family "Bacterial small subunit ribosomal RNA", at positions 524 to 776 of the family's 1533-position model. The record is from RNAcentral.
CACGUAGGCACCAAGCGUUGUCCGGAUUUAUUGGGCGUAAAGAGCUCGUAGGCGGUUCGAUAAGUCGGGUGUGAAAACUCUGGGCUCAACUCAGAGACGCCACCUGAUACUGUCGUGACUUGAGUCUGGUAGGGGAGUGUGGAAUUCCCGGUGUAGCGGUGAAAUGCGCAGAUAUCGGGAGGAACACCAGUGGCGAAGGCGGCACUCUGGGCCAGUACUGACGCUGAGGAGCGAAAGCGUGGGGAGCGAACAGG